This 1509-nucleotide ribosomal RNA is filed under the name Triticum aestivum (bread wheat). RNAcentral's name for it is "partial small subunit ribosomal RNA". Lineage: Eukaryota; Viridiplantae; Streptophyta; Magnoliopsida; Poales; Poaceae. The record is from RNAcentral.
AUGAGAUUUGGCGUGCGGUCUUGUUAUGUUGUAGGUAGACCGUCUGCCAAGUUUCAUCGCAUUCGGAGUCCGUUUAAGGCCCCAACGGUUAACUAUAGCGACAGUAUAGCCGGUCGGGCGUUUUUGGUCUCCGAAAACAGUCGUCGGGUCUCUCUCUUCUCUUCUCUCAGCCCAAGGCUUUCCGCACAGCCCACUACCACUCACCGUCAGGCCCAACCUAACCUCUCCCGUCAGCCCGCGGCCCUCCUCACGCGCGCAUCCGAAAGCUGUCCCGGACCCGACCCGGACAGUCGUCACCGUUGGGUCCGGAUCAUCCCCAAACAUCUACAAAACAUCAUCGUUUUCUUAUUUGAACUCCCUACCUAUUUUUUUCGGAACGUCCGAUUACGAUCGGAGGGACCUAACCGCCAUAAACUGGUAUGUUUUGCUAUAUAUAGUUCCCCUUUGUCCAUUUCUAGACAAACCCUAAAUUCUAGGCAUGUUGUCCCUCGCGUCGCCGCCAGGAGCAUCUUCCUCGGGAUCCCUCCCGAUCCACCUACCUCAUCCUCUGUUUCUGCAUCUGACCAGCCCUCCCACGCCUCCACCUCGACCGCGGCCAUCUUCCACUGCCCGAGCUCCUCCUUCCCCGAAGCUCCUCCUCGUGCGCCCCCUCCUAGACCCUGCUGCCGGACCCGGACCCGGACGCCCCUGCGACCAAGCUCGCCAGGAGGCCACCAAGCCGCUACCUUCCUCCAACCUCGCUGCCUCGCCGCCGUCCGUCUCCGGCGACCGGAUCCCGCCGGAGCACCACCGAACAGGCCGACCUCGCCUCCCUUUCUCUCUCUCUACCAUUGCUCUCUCUCCAGCACCUCACCUCGCGGCCUCUCGUUCUUCAGGAUGAACAGGGACCUCGCCAUGGCCACUGGAUGGAGCUCCAUCGCUGUGGAUCCUCACCGGGAUCCGCCUCCCCGCAUCCAGAUCGGCCGGUCUCCUCCAUCCCCCUCUUUGUCUACUGCUAGGAGCGCCGCCACCUGUCUUCGUCGCCACCAACAGGGAGCACCAACGCCGCGCCGCCCCGGCGAGCCUGCCAGCCGGCGACCUCGACCUGCAAGCCGGCUUCGCGCCACCGCCCAAGGACCCCGCCGCCAUGGCCUCGAACUCUGCCGCCUCGCGUCGCCCUCCCCGUUGUCAAGUCCGCCGCUGCAUGCUCUGCUUCCCCUGCUCGCGGCGACCUCGCGCACCUGCAUCGAUGGGGGUCAACGCACCCGAGCGCGUUUAUCGGGUCCUUGCCCAGCCGCCUCUACGAGGCCACUCCACACGUGGGCCAGCUGGCCAUGCCAGGCCCAGCUCGCGCCGGCCCAAUGGCCACACUGGGUGAGGCCACACCCCAGCGCCCCACAUUUUGUUUUUUUCUCCUGUUGGGCUUGUCCCAGUUUCGGCCCAUACAGCAUUUUUUUUCCUGUCUGUGAUUUAGACAUUAUCCAGUGUUUCUCUGUUUUGCAAAAGAAACCUCAGCAUUCAUGCAUUUAA